GACGAACGCUGGCGGCGUGCUUAACACAUGCAAGUCGAACGGAAAGGCCCUGCUUGCCGGGUACUCGAGUGGCGAACGGGUGAGUAACACGUGGGUGAUCUGCCCUUCACUUCGGGAUAAGCCUGGGAAACUGGGUCUAAUACCGGAUAGUAGCCAUUUUUAGUGUGAUGGUUGUAAAGUUUUUUCGGUGUAGGAUGAGCUCGCGGCCUAUCAGCUUGUUGGUGGGGUAAUGGCCUACCAAGGCGGCGACGGGUAGCCGGCCUGAGAGGGUGGACGGCCACAUUGGGACCGAGAGAAGGCCGAGGUGGCGACGGGAGGCAGCAGGGGGGAAGAUUGAACAAGGGGCGCAAGGCUGAUGCAGCAAGGCCGCGGGGGGGAUGACGGCCUUCGGGUUGAAAAAGCGUUGCGAGAGGGACGAAGCUUUUUGUGACGGUACCUAGAGAAGAAGCACCGGCUAACUACGUG
RNAcentral lists this ribosomal RNA (465 nucleotides) under uncultured bacterium. Its description in RNAcentral is "partial 16S ribosomal RNA". It matches the Rfam family "Bacterial small subunit ribosomal RNA", at positions 28 to 507 of the family's 1533-position model. The record is from RNAcentral.